Non-coding RNA from Dipodomys spectabilis (banner-tailed kangaroo rat), 954 nucleotides. The record is from the annotation of a RefSeq genome assembly. Lineage: Eukaryota; Metazoa; Chordata; Mammalia; Rodentia; Heteromyidae.
UCUCAAUGAGACACAUUUUCCUUUACAGUUUAUUCUCUGAGUCCUCAGUGAAUCCAAGGGAAAGAAUGAUGAGAUCCCUGAGUGUCUUACUAGUGAUUCUGUGGCUUCACAUGAACUGGGUGAACAGCCAACAAAAGGAGGUGGAGCAGCAUCCUGAGUCCCUCAGUGUUCCAGAGGGAGCCACUGCUUCUCUCAACUGCACUUACAAGAACACUGGUUCUCAAUACUUCCUGUGGUACAGACAGUAUUCUGGGAAGGGACCUGAGCUGCUGAUGUCUACAUACUCCAAUGGUGAUAAACACGAGGGAAGAUUCACAGCACAUCUCAACAGAGCCAGCCUUUAUCUUUCCCUGCACAUUAGAGGCUCCCAGCUCAGUGACUCAGCCACCUACCUCUGUGCAGUGAGUGCACAGUGCUCCCCCAACACCUGCAGUCUGCACACAAACCUAUGGGGGCCCCAGUAAGGCCUGAGCUGUAGCACAGGGCAAUUAUUCUGUGCCCUAGAUGUGAUGGUAGCUAAGAGCAAUAGCAGGCAGGAGUUGAUCAUUUUACUAUCUUAUCAUUGUGAAAAUACUUGAGCUGAAGGGAAAUUAAAGACAGAAUACUGUUCUCUGUUGUGGUUAACUUUGACUAUCAGUCUGAGUAGAUUGAUGUCUCAAUUUGUGAUGCACAUUUCUAUGUGUGUGUGAAGCUAUUUCCAUAGGUGAUUAGCACUCUGCACAGUGUGAAAAGCUCCUCUAAAGGUGGGCAGGACAGAUCCAAUAGACUGAAGGCCUGGAUGGAACAAAUGCUUUCAGGCUGUGCCCAGCUUGUAUUGAAGAAUCUAGCCUCAAAUUGUGUGCACACAUGCACACGAUCCUAUAAAGAAACCUGUCUAAAAUUCUACAGUUGACAUGUUUUCCAGUUUUUUCUUUCAAUUCUAAACUAUAUAUGCACAAAAGGUUCACACAAUUA